AAUAUUGGACAAUGGGCGCAAGCCUGAUCCAGCAAUGCCGCGUGGGUGAAGAAGGNCUNNGGAUUNUNAAGCCCUUUCGGCGGNNNNNAUGAUGACGGUCCCCGCAGAAGAAGCCCCGGCUAACUUCGUGCCAGCAGCCGCGGUAAUACGAAGGGGGCUAGCGUUGCUCGGAAUCACUGGGCGUAAAGGGCGCGUAGGCGGCGUGAUUAGUCAGGCGUGAAAGCCCUGGGCUCAACCUGGGGACUGCGCUUGAGACGGUCAUGCUUGAGGGCGGAAGAGGCUCGCGGAAUUCCCAGUGUAGAGGUGAAAUUCGUAGAUAUUGGGAAGAACACCGGUGGCGAAGGCGGCGAGCUGGUCCGUACCUGACGCUGAGGCGCGACAGCGUGGGGAGCAAACAGG
Molecule: ribosomal RNA, 399 nt
Filed under: uncultured bacterium
Lineage: Bacteria
Description: partial 16S ribosomal RNA
Rfam family: Bacterial small subunit ribosomal RNA
Source: RNAcentral